Molecule: RNA transcript, 7901 nt
Organism: Cynocephalus volans (Philippine flying lemur)
Lineage: Eukaryota; Metazoa; Chordata; Mammalia; Dermoptera; Cynocephalidae
Gene: MCFD2
Gene name: multiple coagulation factor deficiency 2, ER cargo receptor complex subunit
Exons: 7
Source: RefSeq, a predicted model, not a curated record
AACAAUGCAGGGGUGACUCACUGCCUGUGACUCACAGGCCUGUGGGUCCUAAGGUCCUGUCAGCAAAGGGCAAACGUCUCAUUGUUGUCCCUUUACAUCCUCUGAGAUGGAGGGUCUCCCCAGCCUGGCCUCCUACUCCAACCCAGUGUAACUGCCACCAUACACUCAAGAAGUCAUGGUGAGAUUGAGAUGGCCUUAAGAUGGAUUUUCCAUCAGAGGACCCAGAAGUACUCAAACCUUUCCUAGCCUCUCAGCCCCUCACAAGAAAAGGAUGAAAGGAGAAGUUGGUGGUCUGCAACCUGCAAGAGUGCCCCCACCAGACCCCGCCAUGUUGGACCUGAUCUUGGACUUCUCAGCCUCCAGAACUGUGAGAAAAGGAAUUGGGACACAGAGAGGUAAGUAACUUGUUCAAGAAGCAGAGGCAAGAUUUGAAUCCAGAGACUCAGACUCCAGAGUGGUUAUUUUAGGAAGGAGAAGCAAAAAAGGGAAGAAGUGAAGCUGGUGCACUAAUCAAAUGUGCCCCGGAGGUUUGUCUGUUCUUAGGACCGGAUCCCCACUGAAAUAUGUGGUGAAGAUCUCAGCUGGGAGGAAGCUCUGGGUGGGUAUUCCACACCCCCACCCCAUUGCAGACAUUGCUCUUUGAGCCAUCCCAGGUGGGUUUCGGGUGGAGGGAGUAGUUUCUCCUGCCUUUCAGGAUCUCUGUUGAAAGAGAUCAUCAACCUCUCACCCAACUCAUACAUCCCAGGCAGUCCAGACCCAGCCAGUGUGGGAGGGGGGAGGGGCAGGGCCUGGCAUCUCUCAGAAUGUGGAAGGAAAGGUCCUCCAUAGCACACAGGCUGGGGAUUUGAGCGAGCAGCUGGAUGACAGCACUGCUGACUUGCAGAAGACAUCUGUUGGCACGCAGACGGUGUGAAGGAAAGCUUGUAAUUGCAGCCAUAAAUCAAACGCGGACAGAGGAAAAACUGUCAAACUUUUUGGAAUCAUUUUGUACAGAAGAGGUAGAAAAAUGCAGCUGUGAUGUGAUCGCUGGGCUGACUGGACGUUGGCAGAGAGAGGAUUCAUGGGGUCAUGGUGGAGUGUGGGGGGGUCCCCUGCCUCAGAAAGCUAUUGCUGUGCCCUUCACUUUCAGGAUGACAGAAUAGCCAGUUCCCCAGAGGAAGAGGCCCCUUCAUCAUGGGACUGUCCUGGGGACAACUGUGAACUAAGCUCAGUUUAUCUUUAGCCUUGUUCUCUUUCUGAAUUUGAUUCUACCUCUGCCACUUAUAGCUCUGUGCCCUUCAGCAAGCCACUUAAAGAAAAUGACUGUCUGUCUUCAGUGCCUGCUACGUUAACUCUUGGGGUUGGCCUUCUCAGCUGGAGUUCACCUUCCUCAGUAACAGAGCCUGAUUCUAUUCAGGCAAACACCUUCAGCCAGCCCUGGCCUUCUGCCAGCUGGGGCCAUCCCUAGUCCCCGAAGGUAGAUUCCGAUUGGUUCAAGCCAAUCAGAGUGGCCCAAUCUCUUACCUGUGAUUGGCUUAGGCAUGGCCAUGGGACCCAAUUCUGAUCAGUGAGAAGAGGAAGUCUAUAAGGGAUGCCUCAGGGGAAGGUUUCUCAUCUUAAUCUCACAGGAGGAGAUGGUUUCUUUAAACCUCUGGAUGUUGUGUGCAGAACCACUUUAGGCACCCGGCUCCUAGCCUGAAGCUGACUACAGCACUGAGGACAGCAGAGCAGAGAGGGGGGAAGGAGUUGGGUCCUUGGUGUUGUCAUCGAGCUGCUAAAUUAACCUUGCCUGGAGCCAGCCUACCUUGUGAUUUCUUGUUAUAUAAGAUGAUACAUUUCUUAUUGUUUAAGCCACUUUGAGUUGGGUUUUCUGUUAAUGGCAGUUAAAAGUGUCCCUGCUGCUUCUAUGCUUCACUGAAAAAUGGGUAGGAAAAGUAUGUUCCCUCUCAUGUUAGAGAGCCCCAUAGCUGGUUGCCUGGUCCCCAUGUGUCAUUCUCUUUUAGCUUUUCCUAGCAAGCCACACCCCAGGGUGCAAACACAUCCCUUGGAAGGCGAGAUGGGUGGGCUCAAGUAAUGACCACUUUGCCCUUCCAACGCUCAGGCUGUUUUGCUGGAUAGAGCUCAUUAUGGCAGGUUUGUUCCUCACUCAGGCAGACAUAGAAGGAUCUUAGGAAGUGCCUGUCCUAUAACUGUCUCUCACUGCUUGUUUUACGGGUGCCUUGCCUCAGUGUGUGCUAUCAAUUGGAAUUAUGAGAUAUUUUACACUCAAAAUUGUGUUGGACAAUGUUGAUGAAUUAUUAAGUAUCCACUGUCUAGUUUGCCUUGGAAUGUCUCAUGCCACCUGAGUGUAUAUGAGGUGAGGACUGAAAACUCCACCACCUCCAGCUGGAGAUCUCUGGAUUUCUAGUAAAGGAUAGUGAAGACACUUCCCCAUCUGCGACUCUCCCAGCUCAGCUCUUUGCCUGGGGAAGGAGCUGAUUAAUGGGGGAUGCUUUCUGAUGUCAAGAAAAGGAAUAUUAAAGGCCUACACCUUUUCCUCUCUCCUCAUGAUAUGAAUUGAAUUGUGUCCCCCAGAUUUGAUGUAUUAGAAGCUUGAUCCCCACUGUGACUGCUAAGAGGGUGAGAAAUCCUAUUAUGGUAAUUGGAAGGUGGGGCCUUGAAGAGGUGAUUAGAUUGUAGGACCAUGCAGUAGUGAAUGGAUUAAUAAUGGUGGUCAGGGGCGUGGUUCUAGGAACUUCAAAAAGGGAGCACAUGAGAGUCUCUCUCUCUUGUUCCUGCCAUUCUUGCCAUGUGACACCCUGCAUUACUGAGUCAUCUCACCAGAUGUGUUCCCUGGACUGUGGAUUUCCCAGCCUCCAAAACUGUAAGCAAUAAAUUUUGUUUUCUAAUAAAUUACUCAGAUCCAGGUAUUUUGUUAUAAGCAACAGAAACGGACUAAUACACCCCGCCUCCAAGCCAGACAGCUGGGCCAUUGAGAUACUGUUCCUUGUCUAUUUCUGAGAUUCUGGGUGGAGGAGGCAGCAGUGGUCAGGGAGGAGUCUGCUCCUGCGCAAGUGGACUCCCAGCUUGCAUCCUGUAUUUGACUAAUGUGUCCUAAACAAGUAGGCUUUGGUUUAGGCUUCUGUUAAGAUCCUGGAGGUCAAAGAGUUCAGGUCAAAUAGCCCCCAGGGAGGACUCAAAAGAUUGGAAAUGGACUGUCUCUACUGUUACCCACACUUAAUUCCUCCUAGGGAGCUCUGUAAGUCCCAGCUGAACCUGUGAGUAGAUACUCUGGGAGGGCAGGACUGUAGGAACUCUGAGCCCAGCUGAGCCCCAGUGAGCCAGGGACAACCUCAUCAGCACGAGGACAGAGGUAGACCUUGGCCAGGAGAAAGCAUGGGGCUCUUUUGGACUUUAUAUGACCAGCCUGUGGUACUCACAAGGGCUUCUUCUUGCUCAUGGAAAUAGAUCAUGUUUUGCUGCAGGCAGUAAGCAACCUUCCCUGCUACCUUCAGCUAGGAGGAAACAGACCAGCAACUCAGAGAGCAGCCUCUGGAGUCUGCCUAAGUUCAAAUCCUGGCUGUGCCAUUACUUGUGUGACCAUGGACUAGUUAUGUGACCCCUCUGUGUCCCAUUUCCUCAUCUAUACGAUGCUUUUAGAGAGUGGCCAGGAAUGUUAGAAGAGUUGAUACAGGGAGUGCACUCAGAUCAGGUGUGUGCCCAACAAUUGUGAGCUAUUAUCAUGAACUCAGGUCAUCCAGAGCAGGUGGCUGGGUUCCCUCCCAGAGGCCUUCGCAGUCUAGUUGCUUUGAGUCUUACCUGCCCCCUCCCCAUUUGUCAAACAUGCCUACAUGCCAUGCCUUCUGACCCCCAGUCCUGAUUCUCAUUCUGCUCCCCUGCUGGCCUUGUGAAGUAGGUGGUCCUGUGUUAAUGUUCUCAUUUGAUUGAUUCCUGCAGGUUAAGGAGGUUCAGGAAGCAGCUGAGCAUGUGUCAUAUAGCAGCUCUGUGUAAGGGGAACAGUCUUAGUCCAAGUGCUGGCCUGCUCUCACCAUGCCGUUCUGUGUCCUGCGAGAGAACCUGGUGUCAGAAGCCUGGGUCGCCCAUCCUAUGAUACAGUAAAGUGGCUCAACAGCCCUCGCAGGCUAAUCAAUGGCAAUCCCCCAGUAGAGAAUGGUGCAGGAAGAAAAUACUAAUUAAGUCAAGGAAGAUUUAGAUGAAGAAACAGAGGCUCAGAGAGAUGCAGUCCCAUGGCUUCAGACAGAAGAACAGCAUGUGACUGAGCAUGUAGAGGCAUGGACCCAGAGUUAUUGACCUCCUUUCUCCAGCUCUUAGAGGGGAGGCUGACCUCUGACACAAAGGCAAGGAGGGCGGAAUAAGCCUGUGGAGGUGCAGGGACGGGUGAUGGUAUGGCAGUGUCCAGCUCAGAAGCCACACACAGAAAGCCAGACCCAGGCUUUUGGAAUCUGGGGGUGAGACUGAGGCUGGGGGGAUGAAUCGUGUGCAGGGUGCUUUCUGCCUCCCUCCUCCACCUCCUCCUAGGGGCCAAAGACCUGUUUGCUGCACUUCCAGGAGCACAGGUCAGCAGAUCCCUGCUCAGCUGUGGGCUGAUAAGAGGGUUUUCCUGCCAGGGGAAUUUGUAUUCCAUGGGAGAUGCCUGAAGACCUUGUACAUCUUGUGAGCCAAAGGAUGUUUGGAUGUGAGCUGAAGUCUGGAAGUAGAAAUAGGCAGGGAGGGGCAGGGUUCUUGUGUACCCAGGAGAGGGAGCGGGAUGCUGGAGGAAGAUUGGGUGUGACCUUAAGUGCCAGCAUGAGGCCAAUGACUCUAUCCUGUGGCCCAGGGAGUCAUUGAUGGCUUAGGCUGGGCUUCCUGGACAGAGGAGCACUGGCACAGUCUCAACUACAGGCCUUGGAUCUCCAGGCCAGGGAUGCAGUGGGAGAGAUGUGCUGGGGUGGGGGGGACUCUGGGCUGCCUGUAGGCAAGUCCGACGGUGGCCAUGUCUUCUGAGAGGUCUGCUGGCUCCCAAAGCCUGGUCUACCUGCCCUGAGCUGCCCACUUGCCAGCUCUGUGUGGCCACCAGUUUUCCCUACAAGGAGCUGCUUUCCUGUGGGCUUUUUGCAACAUGACAAAAAAGAGGGGGCGGGGGACUCUCUAGCUCCCUGGAGAACCACAUCUGGUUGUACCUGAAAUUUGAGAGAAUGGCUAAUAACGCUCUGAGAAUCCGGGUGGCAUCAGCAAUUUGGAUUAUUCACCGGGUAUAAAAUGGCCCCAGACCCUCCAGCCCAGCAGGUUCCAUCACUGGAAUCACCUAAGAAACCUAAAAAAAAAAAAACAAACUGAUGCCUCGGCACUAUGUCUAGAGGUUCUGAUUUAACUGAUCUGGGGUAUGGCCCAGGCACUGGGAUUUUAUAAAGCUCCCCAGGGGAUUCUAGCGAGUGACCAGGGCUGAGAACCACUGCCCUACUGUCUUCUGCAGCUUUUCAGUCAGAAGUGAGUUGGAGGUGACAUUGAAGUUGGUCACAACUCUGUCAAAUCAAGGUACUUUCUGCAGACUUCAGGUACCAAUUCUUGCCAUCUGAGGUGCCUGUAUUACUAAGUUUCUUGAAAUGCCCUAAGGUCCUGAGAGGAGCGUUCUGGCUUCUCACCAGAAGUCCUCAGGCUUGACCUGAGAGGACCUGUUCCCAGCCUCCCUUCCCCCGCUGUCCUUCACAACUAUUCCUCCCUGCCCUGAUGCAGGAUCCUCACCUCAAUCUGCCUCCCAAGCCAUUUUUUUUUUUGACAACCAUUAAAGAUAAAUUUUAAAAAAUCAUCUAAGAAAACAUGUGUAACCCACUGGAAAUUUCAAGGCAAUGAGUCAUCACGCUCCUGGUCCCCCUCAAAUUCCUGUCUCUUAUGUAAGGAUGAGUCACUUUUUGUGAGGUCUGUGCAUCACAGGAAAAAAUUGGAAGGCUCUCAAGAGGAAGAGAGAGAGAGAUUCAUGUCAUUUGCAGCUUCAAGGGACUGGCAGUAGCUCUGAACUGACAUCAGAGAUUCCUCAUCCCUGUACUCGUUCUUUAUUUCUCUCUACUUCAUUUUCUAUCCAGUGACUUUUUUGCUCCAAAGUGCAAGAGAGAUGACUCUGCCAUCCUGCUGCCCUGCUCAGGACCGCUGUCAUUGGGGCCUGAGGACAGGCAGGCAGGGUGGGGGAUGCUCCUACUCCACUCCACAGCAUGCACAUCCUGAGUGAGGGCUGCACCCCUACUAUGUGCACGGCCUGAGAAGUGGAUAAGACAGGUCUGGGGCCCAGCUUCCACGUCUGUGUUCUGCUUAUUUCCGGUUUUCUCAGAAAAACACAGGGGCUCUAGGGCAGGGAGGGUCUAGGAGAAUAAAGAAUUGCAAGCUUUCAAGGGAGCAAAAAAAUUCAAGGGAGCCCAUUUUCUAGAGGAAUGUGGCUGUUCUUUGGGACUCUGACCAUAAAAUUGACACACAGAAAUCCAAGCAGGCAGAGGCAAAGCCAUCCUGAAAAGAGAUAAAAUGGGCUCCAGGCCAGCAAGCCCAUUGUAUCUAAGGAUAAAGUUGUUUGUCUAGGGGCCAGGUCUGCAGAAGAGGUGUAGAAAAGAGCCAGCCCCCAGGCACAGGAACACCCCUGCCAGGGAUGGGGAGUCUGGGUGUCCUCCCUGCACUGGGUGAGUCUCUGUUGGGCAGGUGGAUCCCUGGCACUGCUGCCAUCUGAGAUUUUCAAUCAUCCACACUCAGGAAGCAAAGUCCCUGGUUCUGAGUCUGGGUGCCCAGGACUGGCUCCCCAGCGACUGUGCCCACAGGGAAGGGGGGAGGGGCUGCACUUACAGAUGAGAGAGCAACCAGGUGCUCAUCAUUUUUCUUGCGAGCAAAUAAAUCCACCUUCUGGUUUGCUGCAGCAGUUCUGUGAACUUGUCUCACCUGAAUCCCUCCCUCCACUGCCAAGUGACAACCGUCUCUCACAGACGAAAGGUAAUCAGGAGAGAGCCUGCAGGUGGUGACACCAUCAGGUAAAUACCACCUCCGAGACCCACCAGCCACCCCAGCAUUGCCAGAGGACCUGCCCCUUCUUUUCUAACUUCCCAAGCUGCACACGCGGCUGUUGAGAGCUUUCAGUGUCACUAGUCUGAAUGUGCUGUAAGGGUUGUAUACAUAUGGGAUCUUGAAGACUUAGAAUGAAAAAAAAUGUAAAGUAUCUCAUUCAUAAUUGUCUAUAUUAAAUACAUGUUGAAAUGAUAAUAUUUUGUAUAUAUUAGAUGAAAUAAAAUAUCUUAUUAAAAUUAAUCUCAUGUUUCUUUUUACCUUUGGUCCUGCUCCAAGGCCCACCAAAAAUGAAAAUAAAGGGACAAAGACAAAAAGAGAAUAGACAACAGUGACAGAAUCUAGGGAGCCAAAAAUCAGAUGAAUGAGUGGUCACUGAGUUCGCCAACUAGACAAAGCUGAAUUCAACAUUGUCCUGGUUUGAUUAGCGUCCCCCUAAAACUCAUGUCCACCUGGAACCUCAGAAUGGGACCUUACUUGGAAAUAGGGUCUUUGCCGAUGUAAUUAGUUCAGAUGAGAGGUUACUAGAUUAGGGUGGGUUAUACAUCCAAUGACUGGUAUCCUUACCAGAAGACCAUGUGAAGACACAGAGACACUCACAGAAGAAGGCCAUGUGGUGACAGUGGAGGCAGAGACUGGAGUGAUGCAGCCACAAGCCAAGGAAUGUCAAGGACUGCAGCAGACAACAGACGCCAGCGAGAGGCAGGGAGGGAUUCUUUCCUAGAGCCUUCACAGGGGGCCCAGCCCUGCCGAUGCCUUGACUUCUGACUUUUGGUCUUUAGCACUGAGACCCUAAAUUUCUGUUGUUUUGUGACACCCAGUUUUUCAUAAUGUGUGGCAGCACCUUAGGAAACUAAUACACUUGGUAUGAAAGAAAGAAUGUAAAUUAUUUCAUCUGUAAUUGUUGG